AUCAAAGAGCGCUCUGUGGUUCAUAUUGUAAUCAGUAACCCAGGAAUCACAACUUCAAAUCACAAAUACCUCGAUGAUGAGGAAGAGGAAGAGGCUUAAGGAGAAGCCAAGGAAGAGGGAUUUUGAUAGGCAGCUUAGUUGUUGUUGUAAAGACUUAACUAAAACUCUGUGUUUUUUUGUCGCUACCUUGCAAUCUCUUGAAACUCCUUAUGAAUCUGUGUCUUAAUGACACGCUUUUGAGACUAAGUUGGUUUUGUGUCACGGCUUCAGUUGUUAGACUGAUUAUAUUUUGUAUCGUUGUGUGUUUUCCCUAAUCAGGUUCCACACAAGGUCGGACUCCAUCAUCAAAAGGUAUAUCCUUAAUACUGAUAUCUGGUUUUGAUUUAUACGUUUGUUUCCCUACUAGAGCACUAAUCAUGAUCCCUGAUAGUUGAUUCUUUGUGCGUUAAUGGAUACAACUUUGGUACUAGGAACUGACAAUAAUCUGAUGCCAUCUUAGAAUCUCUUGUCUUAGAAAGGCUGCUGGUAUCCCAAAGAAGUUGGCUCCUACAAUGUAUCACUCAUAGGGUUUUAACCUAACAAUUCUCCCUCUGAUGAUGAUCUUUUGAAAAUCGCUCUGUGAAAUAAGUUUUUACCGAUUUAGUGUUUUAGUGUAAGAGAAGUUGGAAAAAGUAUUCCAUUUUCUAAAAUAUCAACUAAAAUUAUGCAUAAUCUAAGAUAAUCAAUCCAAAAGUAUAGGUUACUA
Arabidopsis lyrata subsp. lyrata is the source of this 745-nucleotide long non-coding RNA. RefSeq lists it as uncharacterized. NCBI's taxonomy places the organism in Eukaryota, Viridiplantae, Streptophyta, Magnoliopsida, Brassicales, Brassicaceae. The transcript has 2 exons. The record is from RefSeq and is a predicted model, not a curated record.